Saimiri boliviensis boliviensis (Bolivian squirrel monkey) is the source of this 155-nucleotide non-coding RNA. NCBI's taxonomy places the organism in Eukaryota, Metazoa, Chordata, Mammalia, Primates, Cebidae. The record is from RefSeq and is a predicted model, not a curated record.
AUCUUGGACUUUCAGCCUCCAGAACUCUCUUCAUGCCUGCCUUGUGUGACCUGGGGAUGAAAGAGUGCCCACCCAACUCACUCUACCCUACUUGGUCAGAAUUUUUAACAAGUUGAGGAUAAAGAAUACAAACAAUCAUAAAGAACCUGAGGAAU